RNAcentral lists this ribosomal RNA (331 nucleotides) under uncultured eukaryote. RNAcentral describes it as "partial 18S ribosomal RNA". It matches the Rfam family "Eukaryotic small subunit ribosomal RNA", at positions 1470 to 1796 of the family's 1831-position model. The record is from RNAcentral.
CCCUUAGAUGUUCUGGGCCGCACGCGCGCUACACUGACUGGUGCAACAAGUGUCUGACCUUGGCUCGAGAGGCCUGGGCAACCUUUGAACGCCAGUCGUGCUGGGGAUAGAUUCUUGCAAUUAUUAAUCUUCAACGAGGAAUUCCUAGUAAACGCAAGUCAUCAGCUUGCAUUGAUUACGUCCCUGCCCUUUGUACACACCGCCCGUCGCUACUACCGAUUGAAUGAUUUAGUGAGGACUUCGGACUGGGACCGAUGCGGCUUUCGGGCUGCGUCGGUAUUCUGGAAAGAUGUCCAAACUGUAUCAUUUAGAGGAAGUAAAAGUCGUAACA